RNAcentral lists this ribosomal RNA (499 nucleotides) under uncultured bacterium. RNAcentral describes it as "partial 16S ribosomal RNA". It matches the Rfam family "Bacterial small subunit ribosomal RNA", at positions 28 to 507 of the family's 1533-position model. The record is from RNAcentral.
GACGAACGCUGGCGGCGUGCUUAACACAUGCAAGUCGAACGGGCCCGCUCUCUUUUUUGGGGGUGGGUUGAGUGGCGAACGGGUGAGUAUCACGUGAGUAACCUGCCCCCUGCUCCUGGAUAACUGCUUGAAAGGGCGGCUAAUACGGGGUGUGCCGGCUGGUCCGCAUGGGCCUGGUCGGGAUAGUUUCAUCUUCGGGUGUUUCGGUGGGGGAUGGGCUCGCGGCCUAUCAGCUUGUUGGUGGGGUGAUGGCCCACCAAGGCGGUGGCGGGUAGCCGGCCUGAGAGGGUGGGCGGCCACACUGGGACUGAGACACGGCCCAGACUACUGCGGGAGGCAGCAGUGGGGGGUAUUGCACAAUGGGCGGAAGCCUGAUGCAGCGACGUCGCGUGAGGGAUGGAGGCCUUCGGGUUGUGAACCUCUUUCUCCGGUGGUGAAGGCCCUGUCCGUUGCGGCGGGGUUGACGGUAGCCGGGUAUGAAGCGCCGGCUAACUACGUG